AUGAGGAAAAAACAAAACAAGAAGAAAGUGGAGGAGGCUCUAGAAGUGGAGGAAGAGAAAUAUGUGGUGGAAAAAGUUCUUGACUGUGGAGGGGUAAAGGGCAAAGUGGAGUAGCUCCUAAAGUGGAAGGGGUUCUCAAUGAGGACCACACAUGGGAACCAGAAGAGAACCUGGAUUGCCCUGACCUCAUUGCUGAGUUUCUGCAGUCAUAGAAAACAACACAUGAGACAGAUAAAUCAGAGGGAGGCAAGCGCAAAGCUGGAGAGGAGGGCAAACCAAAGAAGAAGAAAGAAGAGUCAGAAAAGCCAUGAGGCUUUGCUGGGGGUUUGGCGCCAGAGCAGAUUAUUGGAGCUACAUACUCCAGUGGAGAGCUCAUGAUCCCGAUGACAUGGAAAAACUCUGAUGAGGCUGACCUGUUUCCUGGCAAGGAAGCCAGCAUCAAGUGCCCACAGGUUGUCAUAUCUUUCUAUGAGGAAAGGCAUUCCUACCCCAAGAAGGAGGAUGAGAAAAAAGAUGACAAGAAUUGA
RNAcentral lists this long non-coding RNA (527 nucleotides) under Homo sapiens (human). RNAcentral describes it as "non-protein coding lnc-SNRPE-3:1". Lineage: Eukaryota; Metazoa; Chordata; Mammalia; Primates; Hominidae. The record is from RNAcentral.